CCCGCAGUGCGAGUGCAUGGCUCCGCGAGGAGUCCACCGGUCAUCCACCGGUCAUCCACCGGAACCGGGCGAGGAGCAGAAACACCGCGGCCCCGGGAACAGGUUGAGCCGUUGACGGGAGGAGGCGGAGCUUGGGCGUUCGAUUCCUCUGAUUAUGGCUGAACACCCGGAGUCUUCUCCCAGUCCAGAAAUCCCACUCUCUGUGGCUUCGUAGUAAACUGACCUGGGCUCAGAAACACGUACAGAACUUUACUGAAGAACCAAUCAGAUGAUCCCAAACGGCCUGAGCCCCUGAAUCCUCUGAACUUCACAUGUUCACGUGACUUUAUGACUUUCAAACCUCUGAGGUCAGUGAUUCAGCUUCUGUUCACUCUCGACUUAUUCCCACAAAUAAAAAACUUCAUCCCAUCUCCCAGAAGCAGUUUGAGGAUCUGAUGGAAACCAGAGUCAAAGCUCCUCUUCACCUCCAGAGCAUCUCUAACUCCAUCUUCAUUCUGAGGAACCAAAGGGUUCAGAUCACUGCUCUUCAGACUCUGAGCCUCACGUCCUGUUCACAGUAUUUACAUGUGCACAUCACAGAGUUCCACUGAUUCCUGACUCACACACAAACGUCACACAACCGGCUUCAAACCACAAGUCAAAUUAAAACAGAGGAAAAAUAAACCACAGCAGGUUUUGACCUCCAGGGGAAACUGAGAAGAUCAUGUGAAAGUUCUCUGUGACUCUGAAGAGCACUUGAACCCACACAGUGACUCAGGAGGAGAGGAGGACGCUGGGGCAGCUCAGGCUCAUGUCUGGGCUUCAGGAGCUAAUACCAGUAUUUGAUCAUAAUAAAUGUAUGAAUUCUGAAAA
Molecule: long non-coding RNA, 852 nt
Organism: Platichthys flesus (European flounder)
Lineage: Eukaryota; Metazoa; Chordata; Actinopteri; Pleuronectiformes; Pleuronectidae
Exons: 3
Source: RefSeq, a predicted model, not a curated record